UGGGGAAUAUUGGACAAUGGACCAAAAGUCUGAUCCAGCAAUUCUGUGUGCACGAUGAAGGUCUUCGGAUUGUAAAGUGCUUUCAGGUGGGAAGAAGAAAGUGACGGUACCACCAGAAGAAGCGACGGCUAAAUACGUGCCAGCAGCCGCGGUAAUACGUAUGUCGCAAGCGUUAUCCGGAWUUAUUGGGCGUAAAGCGAGUCUAGGCGGCUUGUUAAGUCAGAUGUGAAAAUGCGGGGCUCAACUCCGUAUUGCGUUUGAAACUGGCAGGCUAGAGUACUGGAGAGGUGGGCGGAACUACAAGUGUAGACGGUGAAAUUCGUAGAUAUUUGUAGGAAU
RNAcentral lists this ribosomal RNA (339 nucleotides) under uncultured Ilyobacter sp. Its description in RNAcentral is "bacterial SSU rRNA". It matches the Rfam family "Bacterial small subunit ribosomal RNA", at positions 355 to 707 of the family's 1533-position model. The record is from RNAcentral. Lineage: Bacteria; Fusobacteriati; Fusobacteriota; Fusobacteriia; Fusobacteriales; Fusobacteriaceae.